ACACAUAGGAGGGGCAUCUGGCCAAGAUCAGGAUGGAAAAUUAUUGGUGAGAGGGUGGAGAAACCUUAUAGGAAAUCCUGUUGGAGAUCAGUUCUGUGGGAUUGGGAGAAGAAGAGAAGGAAAAGGCUAAGAGAGUAAAGAGGAGGUUUGGGAAUGACAGAGCAGAAAGAAUUCCAGAGUGAGGAAUGGGGAGGUGAAAACUGAAGCCAGAAGCAGGUGGUGAAGGAGCAAAUCUGUUAGGAUGCACCGCAGGGCAAGAGAGACCAAGAGAACUGAAGGGGUGGCAUGAGGUGGAUUCUGGAUGGAUCAGGAGUCUGGAGCUGAGACAGUCAAAUCCAGCCACUUCAUGAUCUGUGCCGCCCAGGGAAGCCUGCCGUGUGGUUACCUGAAUACCAGAGCUCCAUCGCGAAGGCCCAGGGAAAUGAAGUCACUGUUGGAUCUCAUGGGGCUGUCUCCCCUCCACAGCAGCAGGCCAUCCUUGGCAGUUGUCUUAAACCUCAUGAACGCAUUUGAUCUCGAGCCUGAAACCCUGGAGGAAACACAGAAAUAAUGGCACUUCAUCAAGCAUUCUCCACCAACCUCCUUUUCUGAGUGAUCCCAGUUUGGUCUGUCUGUCCCACUCCCCAUUAUAAAGACUGUCCAGGCUUUUUGAUAUGGAGAUUCAAAGAUAUUGAAAGGGGGCACCCAGAGAUCCAAAGGGGCACCAGCCUUUGGAAUCCCACCCUCAGGACAGCACUGGCUGAGCCGAGCAAGACUCUGGCCAAAGCCACUGCCUGGGCUAUACCCCCAGGCCCCACCUCCAAUUUCCCUGUCCUGCCACUCAAGGGCCUCUUGGUAGGCGGUAGGGUGAGCUCUCUUUCUUGACUGCCUAAGGCUCAAGUUGGCAAUUGUUGAGUUGUGGUACUGACAGAGGAUGUCCACUCUGGCCUCACUUUGAGGUUAAAGAAGAGAUCACCAGAGAGGGCCUCCUGGGCCGAGACCAGUUCAGCAUUUCGGGGGAUGAUGGGGGAAGAAGAAGCAUGAUUUUCUUAUAGAGAAACAGGUGAGGUAGGACUGAAUAAAAUCGAAUCCUACACUAGAGCAGUA
Long non-coding RNA from Sorex fumeus (smoky shrew), 1086 nucleotides. RefSeq lists it as uncharacterized. The transcript is spliced from 2 exons. The record is from RefSeq and is a predicted model, not a curated record. NCBI's taxonomy places the organism in Eukaryota, Metazoa, Chordata, Mammalia, Eulipotyphla, Soricidae.